RNAcentral lists this ribosomal RNA (478 nucleotides) under Pseudomonas sp. 01WB03.4-17. Its description in RNAcentral is "bacterial SSU rRNA". It matches the Rfam family "Bacterial small subunit ribosomal RNA", at positions 1 to 482 of the family's 1533-position model. The record is from RNAcentral. Lineage: Bacteria; Pseudomonadati; Pseudomonadota; Gammaproteobacteria; Pseudomonadales; Pseudomonadaceae.
UGAGCUUGAUCCUGGCUCAGAUUGAACGCUGGCGGCAGGCCUAACACAUGCAAGUCGAGCGGUAGAGAGAAGCUUGCUUCUCUUGAGAGCGGCGGACGGGUGAGUAAAGCCUAGGAAUCUGCCUGGUAGUGGGGGAUAACGUUCGGAAACGGACGCUAAUACCGCAUACGUCCUACGGGAGAAAGCAGGGGACCUUCGGGCCUUGCGCUAUCAGAUGAGCCUAGGUCGGAUUAGCUAGUUGGUGAGGUAAUGGCUCACCAAGGCGACGAUCCGUAACUGGUCUGAGAGGAUGAUCAGUCACACUGGAACUGAGACACGGUCCAGACUCCUACGGGAGGCAGCAGUGGGGAAUAUUGGACAAUGGGCGAAAGCCUGAUCCAGCCAUGCCGCGUGUGUGAAGAAGGUCUUCGGAUUGUAAAGCACUUUAAGUUGGGAGGAAGGGCAGUUACCUAAUACGUGAUUGUUUUGACGUACCGAC